This 2490-nucleotide ribosomal RNA is filed under the name Triticum aestivum (bread wheat). Its description in RNAcentral is "partial small subunit ribosomal RNA". Lineage: Eukaryota; Viridiplantae; Streptophyta; Magnoliopsida; Poales; Poaceae. The record is from RNAcentral.
AUGGAGUCUCCACAUGCAAAUGCAUGCGCUGAAACACUUCUUCAGCUGGCCGGUGUGCUCUUAUCACCACAUUGCCCAGAACCACCUUACCAUCUGCGGAGACGGAAAUAUGUGACGGAAGUCGCAAAAAAACCAGCAUGGCCAGUAAAACGUCAAAGGUCAGGCGCUGAAAAUAUAACAGGGUAUAAGAAAUACAAAAUGUCUACUGCUGUCCAACCACCUCACAGUGAGGGACCUAAAACAGCGAGAUCAGCCCCUGAUCCAACUACGCAGACUAGUAAUAAUCGCCAAACUGCUCGUCACAGACAUCUUUCAGGUUAGCCAAGCUUAUAUCGUUGCAUGCUUUCCUGUUGUCAUAUUCUAAGUUUCAUCAUCAUUAACUCUAGCUCUUACUCUGUUCUGAACCAGGUCCUUCAAGGAUUACUAAAUACAAAGAUCGUGUAGUUGCAUACAAGCGUCGAGAACGCUCACAGAGUGCCAUUUGUGCUAUACUUGAUCAGCAGCUUGCAGGUUGACUUUCCUUCUAGUGAAAGUACUCUGAGCAGCUUUGUUUAAUUGCUGCAACUAUACUGCAACUGUAAACUCAGAUUAACCGAGCUUGAACUAACAAAAAAUGCAGGCACCCCAUCAAUUCCAUCCAUCGCUGCAGUGACCACAAGACCAUCAUGCCAACAAAUUCCUGCAAAUUCUCCAUCACUGACCCUAGCCAUGCAAGAUGCAGCAACGACACAAACGCCCAUGGCUUCAGGUGCAUCAUCACCUUGACUAUUUACAAUGCACUUCUCGAAAGUGAUACACUAUCUAAUUUUCAUCUUCAUGCUCAUUUACCAUGUAUUGACUUUGCAUCCGAUGCCAUGGCAGGAAAUCCACCACUUUGGGAUUCAAGUCCAGCAACAGCUAUGUGCAAUUCAAGUCACCAUGAUGACCUGCUUGCAGAAGGUAACACUUUAAACCCAUCUAUGAUCUGCCAAAUAAAAAUAAAUCCAUUGUACCAACAGCAACAAAACUAACUGGCUUCCUUAGCAGUUGCCGGCUGUGCAAGUUUCUGUGCUACCACUGGUUCCAACUACUGGAGAUGGUGCUACCGUUCAAGCAGAAAAUGUUCAUACACUGAUCCACAACAGAGGUACUUCCCUCACCGUCAAUGCGCAAUACUGAUUGAUGAAAGCAUAAUUUCUUGAUUGCCUCAUCCAGUGCAAUGAUUUAAUGCUUCGGUAAUAUUGUGACUCACUUCCAUACAACUCCAACCGAUGCAGAUGUUGAUGGGCAUACGGGUCCACAGAAUACAAAUAAUGGCAAUGUUGUGUCUGCCUCUGCUACUGAUGAAAUCCCUGCCAAAGGUACAGCCAGCUUCUAAUGCUUCAUCAUAGCUUAUAACCUUUCUGUUCCUUUCCAUUUGUGGUGAUCAGCCAAAUUGGUCGAAGAUAUGACUCAUCUUUCUAAACUCUACUCACUACUCAGCAGAUACCACGCGGGCGAGCUUCCCAAACAGCACACCUCUCCCAGCAAAUGCAGCUGACACUACUGGGAUGCAAAAAGAAUACCCAGAUGAAGGUACCAUUCUCCUGUCUUUACACCUUUGUGCAAAACAUCAUCAGGACUGCAGAGAAAAAAUAAACAAAUUUCCAGUUGCAGAUCGCAGAAGCACAUCUCCUUCUCCAAACACAGACUCACAUGAAAAUAUAUGCGCUCAUCCUACAAAUACAUCUCUGACUCCGUACCUGAUCAGCGAUGGUAAGUUCAAUCAAACUCACAUCCAGUUGGCUACGAUAACUUCAUCUGCAACAACCAACAUACCUCUAACAACAGAAACCUGCUGACUUCUAAUUCAGAUGGUCCUAGCAACUGCCAAGCGACCGGCGAUGACCUGCCCAUUUCAGCAACACCAAAGAUCGAGCCAGACGUUGAGGUUGCAAGAUUUCUGAGGAUAAUAGCAGACCAGCCCUCUUACUUCAAUGUCUAUGACUCCUACCAGAAUAUGGAAAAUACAAAAGAUACUGAUCGUGAGAGGUCAUGCACUGCUCCUUAUUAUAUCACAAUUGUCUUUUCAUUCAAACUAGUUCCCUAUCUUGAGCAACAUAUAUCAAAAUUUACCAACUGCAUCAUAAAUUUAUUAAUGCCUAUAUUCGUUGUCACAGCUUGUGGCACCAAAAAACUAUACUAUAUACCUGACCAAAACGUUUCCAUGCUAUCAACAGGAAAUGGAUUUCGUUGAAAACCCCCUUAUGCCUGGAUAUGACGGGCCAUGCUAUCUACCGGAGUUAUGGAGCAGGAAAAAUAAUGAAGAACAAUGGCAUGAAAGUAGUUGUUCAUGUUCUAACCACAAAGAACAACAAAUUGUACCCAAACAGAAAACCUCGCUGGAGAAGCAUAAUUGGCCCAUGUUUUGCGGAGGAAUUCGCCAACAACCCGGAGAAUCCCAACAUAGACAGAUUCUUCUCAAUGUUCGAUGCAACCAAACUCCCCUACAAACUGGAAGAAACAAAAAAG